Molecule: non-coding RNA, 68 nt
Organism: Potamilus streckersoni
Lineage: Eukaryota; Metazoa; Mollusca; Bivalvia; Unionida; Unionidae
Source: the annotation of a GenBank genome assembly
GGUGGCUUAGUAGUUAGAGCAUCCACCUCGGAUAUGGGAGGUCGUGGUUUCGAUCCCCGUCUUAAUCA